GGGCGCAUAGCUCAGUUGGCAGAGCAGCUGACUCUUAAUCAGCGGGUCCUAGGUUCGAGCCCUAGUGCGCCCACCA
This 76-nucleotide transfer RNA is filed under the name Devosia sp. Its description in RNAcentral is "tRNA-Lys". It matches the Rfam family "tRNA". Rfam says of the family: Transfer RNA (tRNA) molecules are approximately 80 nucleotides in length. Their secondary structure includes four short double-helical elements and three loops (D, anti-codon, and T loops). Lineage: Bacteria; Pseudomonadati; Pseudomonadota; Alphaproteobacteria; Hyphomicrobiales; Devosiaceae. The record is from RNAcentral. RNAcentral also lists the same sequence under 2 other names.